GGCGGCGUGUUUAAGACAUGCAAGUCGCACGGGGAUAUUUUGGUAGUAAUACUUGAAUAUUCUAGUGGCGCACGGGUGAGUAACACGUGAAUUACAUGCCCUUCAGUGGGGAAUAGCCCAGGGAAACUUGGAUUAAUACCCCAUGGUAUCGCAAGAUUAAAGGUGGCCGCAAGGCUGCCGCUGAAGGAUUGGUUCGCGCCCUAUCAGCUUGUUGGCGAGGUAACGGCUCACCAAGGCUACGACGGGUACCUGGUUUGAGAGGACGAUCAGGCACACUGGAACUGAGACACGGUCCAGACACCUACGGGUGGCAGCAGUCGAGAAUAAUUCACAAUGGGGGCAACCCUGAUGGUGCAACGCCGCGUGGAGGAUGACGGUCUUCGGAUUGUAAACUCCUGUCAUCUGGGAGUAAGACCUGGCAGUUAAUAGCUGACAGGGUUGAUAGUACCAGAAGAGGAAGGGACGGCUAACUUCGUGCCAGCAGCCGCGGUAAUACGAAGGUCCCGAGCGUUGUUCGGAAUCACUGGGCGUAAAGGGAGCGUAGGCGGCGUGGUAAGUCAGAUGUGAAAUCCCGGGGCUCAACCCCGGAACUGCAUCCGAUACUGCCGUGCUAGAGUGAUGGAGAGGUAGCUGGAAUUCUUGGUGUAGCAGUGAAAUGCGUAGAUAUCAAGAGGAACACUCGUGGCGAAAGCGAGCUACUGGACAUUUACUGACGCUGAGGCUCGAAGGCCAGGGUAGCGAAAGGGAUUAGAUACCCCUGUAGUCCUGGCAGUAACGGUGCACGCUUGGUGUGAGGGGAAUCGACCCCCCUUGUGCCGGAGCUAACGCGUUAAGCGUGCCGCCUGGGAAGUACGGUCGCAA
Molecule: ribosomal RNA, 861 nt
Filed under: uncultured Verrucomicrobiota bacterium
Lineage: Bacteria; Pseudomonadati; Verrucomicrobiota
Description: bacterial SSU rRNA
Rfam family: Bacterial small subunit ribosomal RNA
Source: RNAcentral